UCACACAUUAUCAAUUCAUUUUCAUCAAUUUUGCAAAUUCUCAAAUUCCCAAGUUCAAGCCGACGGUAGAAUUUUACAAAAUGUUUGCCAAAUAUUUCUUGAUUGCUGUUCUCCUCGUUGUUGGGAUCCAAGCAAUGUCCAUGAAUCCAGAGGAGAAGCUUUUCUUUUCCAAUAUCCCAAUUUCUAACAACCAAACUUUCAACCUUGUUCCGUUAUCGUGCACGCUUUUCGGCGUUCUCUGCCCCCUCGGAUACACCGGACCAAGAGGCGGUUAGACUUUACCGGAUAUCAAAAACCCAUCAAUUUCAAAAAUUUGAUGUUAAAUUCGGUUAAGCUUUAAAACACUUAAUUACCACACUUGGUGCUUGAUUGGAAUAAAUUAAAUUCACAUAUUGAAAUUGAAA
Long non-coding RNA from Folsomia candida, 404 nucleotides. RefSeq lists it as uncharacterized. The record is from RefSeq and is a predicted model, not a curated record. Lineage: Eukaryota; Metazoa; Arthropoda; Collembola; Entomobryomorpha; Isotomidae. The transcript has 2 exons.